CGAAGCUCAAAGUUCGGUCGCGCCUGUCGCUUUGCCGUCACAAAGUCAUUUUCAUUUCGAGCAUUCGAGCUUCCCUCGCGUAGGGAGAUCGGGAAUUCGUUUGCAGGUGCUCGAUUCGAGUUUUUCGCAGAAUGGAAGUUCCUUUCGCGUUUAGCUUCAGACUAUUAACAACAGGUGCAUCCGGAUGAUGGCAUUCUCAUAGUCAGAUAGUGUAUCAGUCCCAAAGCUCUGUCAAGAUCCUCAUCUAUUCUUUGUGGCCAUUGGUGCUGGAUAAUUUGUUUUUCGUGCACGUAUUGAUAUUUUGAUUACACACGGUAAAACCUCAUCACCCUAUCGAGAAACAGUUUUAGCAGCACUACCAAAUCUUCGGUCGAUGAAAUUUGUUUCGAUCGCUCUCACCUCAGUUUCGACAUGAAGUUCACUGCCUUACUAUUCGUUUGCAUGAUAUACCACCUGAGUUACUUUACAACUGUUAACGGGCUCAUAGAUGAAGUUGAGGAUGUGUUCUCCAUAUCCAAAGAUAUUGCAUCCACUGUAUUCAAAGCAUGGGAUACCGUGUCCGAGCAUUUACCUGUUGAUCAAAGUGAAAUCACACCACCAUUCCUCAGGAAGAAGGGAGCGAAAUUAACUUCAAAGAUGAAGCUCAUCACCCAUAUGUUGGAAAAUGUUGACCGAAGAAUCAAUUCAGUUACCAUCAGUGCUGUUUCAAGCUUGCGAAAUGAUUUUCAGUCUAUCGCUCACUAUGAACUGCGAGUAGGUGAAGUUCACCGGUUGACAGGAAUCAUUGAAGAUGCCUAUGCUCGGUUUGUGGCAUAUUUGCCGGAUGGAACUGAUAGUGGCGACAGUUUAUCAGCAAUAAAAGAUCAGCUGGACCUGGUGAACGAGGAGACGCCAGGAACCAACAUCCGUCUUCGACACAAGCACAUUUCUCUGGACCCCGGCAAUAUCACUGAAGCCACUUACAACGCAGAAGGUGUCGAAGGCAACACGCCCAUCAGAGUAGUCUCCGAUUUUUCGGAAGAGUCUGAGAAAAACCUACCCGGGCUCAUGCCCGCAAACUCAGUGAUAGUUUCGAGCCAUACACAUUAG
Molecule: long non-coding RNA, 1089 nt
Filed under: Bemisia tabaci
Lineage: Eukaryota; Metazoa; Arthropoda; Insecta; Hemiptera; Aleyrodidae
Description: lncRNA ENSSSA3NGG002583
Source: RNAcentral